Long non-coding RNA from Strigops habroptila (Kakapo), 2111 nucleotides. RefSeq lists it as uncharacterized. NCBI's taxonomy places the organism in Eukaryota, Metazoa, Chordata, Aves, Psittaciformes, Psittacidae. The record is from RefSeq and is a predicted model, not a curated record. The transcript is spliced from 4 exons.
AUCAGUAACUUCAGAUUUUCAAGGAAAAUGACAAGAAAAUCGAAAAAUGAGAACCCAUUUUGUGUGGUCAUCUGUUUGUUCAUCCUGCAUAGCACGCCCGAAGUCUUACCUGUAGCUUCCUGUUUCAAGGGUAAUAACAUAGAGAUGAAUUAAAGUUUUUGGCAGAUCUGGUAGUGGAGUAGAAAAAAGCAUGAAAUACCUUCACAGCCCCUUCCCUGUCUUCCUCAGAGUACAUUCAAAAAUGUCUUACUGGAAAAGUAUAAUCCUCAAUUAACUGUAAGCAUUUCUGAGUUACUAAGACCAUGGUCAUUUAAUUUGUAUUAAACUACAGAUGAGGUUUAAGAAACAUUUUAAGAAUAACAGGAAGCCACAUCUAUAGCCAACAAAUAGGGAAAUCCAUUAACGAACUCUGCAGCACUGUUCAAGUCGAAUCUUAAUGUAACUGUGAUUUGCUUGGACUGUCCAUAAUUGCUGUAAUUAAAAGGGUGGCAGCCAUCAGAGGAAAACCAGGAAAUUCAAUCCAUUCAUUGACACUAGCAUGGAUCCUUAAAAACCCCAUCUUGCUCAGUGCUAAACUCUGGAUUGUCAUUGCUGCAGAGCUGAACCAUAGAUAUUUCUUCUCCACUGGCUCCAUUUUCAGUAACACCCAUCUGUACUCAGCAGAGAUUGCUGGGUUUUAGAAACAGUGCCAAAAACCAGCAACAACCCCCACCCCUGCUCUUCCCCAUCCCUGUCAAACCAUGGGGCCGUGCCCGGAGGACGGGCUGCCGCUGCUUUGGGGCGGGAGAGGGGGAUGCAGCAUCCCUCAUGGCUUUCGUCUCCUUCCCUUUGGUUUAGGGCCAGUUGCUUUUCCUAUGGAAUAACUGUACCUGUUCCUGUGUGAACAAACCCCAGCCCCAUCGUGCCCACAGCCCUGCUCUGCUCUGCCUCGCCACCCAGGGACCUGCAGCACUGCCAGGCUGCUGGAGGACAACACAGCAGAAGCCCCAGGGCAGUAGGUGCAGGUUUUACCAUCUGGGCACUCGUUAUUCACCAGCAGUAUCUGUGUGUGUUGGUAUUUGAGCACUCUCCCAUUUCUUGCAGCCCUGGUUCUCCUUGCUACAAAUUAAUAUUCUCACAACACCCCCCCCCCAAUCAGUCUUUGCUAAAAGCAUUAAUUAAGAUUUUAACAUUUUUGAUCCCAUCAAUUUUCUGUUCUCUUCUUAUUAAAUAGAUGUACUAGGGGAGUUUGAAUAAUAACUGCCCGAAGUUUGAGGAUAAUGAAUAAAUUAACUUUGCCAGCCUCUGGCUAAGCAUGAAAUUUACUGUGCAGUAACAAAUGGAACAGAGGCAGCUCAUGCAUUAACCAACCCAGUUUUGACACCAAGUUUGGGAGCACAUUAUUUACUCACCAAUUCUGAGUGAGACUAGGCUCCUGCGUAGUUUAUGCAGGCAAUGAAAACUGCCAUGGUCAGACAGUUUCUUGUGUGCUCCAUCACAGCGAGAAGCCGCUCACCUGCCUUCCCUUCGGCGGGGCCCUGGCCUCGUGCCACACGCAGGGAUGCUUUCAGGACUGCAUGUGUCCUCUUCCAGAGAGCACACCGGGAACUAGGAGGAAGACAAGUCACUGAGAAAUAUUCACUGCCCUUGAGGAAGAGCAGCAGCUGAUGAGGCACAGUUCGAACCCAGGUUACAGAAGACUCGCCCUCCCAAGCACACGUGGAAGCCAAGGACCAUGUUCUUCAGUGUCUCACCUCUGAUGCACUUCUAGGUUUGCAACCACCACCUCCCCAAGCUUUCUGAAGAGCAGUUCCUCUUUUUGUGGGAUGAUUAUGGAUUAUUCCACAAUCCAGGGGAUGCUACAGCUGCCAUUAAGGGGAUGAAAAUCCUUACAAGGAUUGUAACACCUUUGGCUUGAUUCACCUUUUUUCGGGAGGCCUGAUGAAAACCACAACUUACCUUGAGUGCUCUGCACUGUGGUCCUGUCCAUCUGACCACAUCUGGUACUAACAGCCCAGAGACAACGAUGUUGGCACAAGGAAACGCAGCCACAGCUGGUGACGAGCUGUCAGCACCUUCCGCAGGGUUUGGCAGAGCGUGGAGGGGUGUAAUAAAGAACUGAUUUCACUUCA